UCAGGACGAACGCUGGCGGCGUGCCUAAUACAUGCAAGUCGAACGGCUUUUCUAUGGAAGCUUGCUUCCACUGAGAAGAUAGUGGCGAACGGGUGAGUAACACGUGGGUAACCUGCCCAUAAGAGGGGGGAUAACAUCCGGAAACGGGUGCUAAUACCGCAUAGUUUUCUUGAUCGCAUGAUUGAGAAAGGAAAGACGGCCUUUGUGCUGUCGCUUAUGGAUGGACCCGCGGCGUAUUAGUUAGUUGGUGAGGUAACGGCUCACCAAGACGAUGAUACGUAGCCGACCUGAGAGGGUGAUCGGCCACAUUGGGACUGAGACACGGCCCAAACUCCUACGGGAGGCAGCAGUAGGGAAUCUUCCGCAAUGGACGAAAGUCUGACGGAGCAACGCCGCGUGAGUGAAGAAAAGGGUUUUCGGAUCGUAAAACUCUGUUGUCAGAGAAGAACAAGUUGGAGAGUAACUGCUCCAGCCUUGACGGUAUCUGACCAGAAAGCCACGGCUAACUACGUGCCAGCCGCAGC
Molecule: ribosomal RNA, 524 nt
Filed under: uncultured bacterium
Lineage: Bacteria
Description: bacterial SSU rRNA
Rfam family: Bacterial small subunit ribosomal RNA
Source: RNAcentral